Molecule: non-coding RNA, 4670 nt
Organism: Nicotiana tabacum (common tobacco)
Lineage: Eukaryota; Viridiplantae; Streptophyta; Magnoliopsida; Solanales; Solanaceae
Source: RefSeq, a predicted model, not a curated record
AUUAAUGAAAUUAAACCCUAGUUUCAUCAUAGCAAAAGCAGUUGUGCAAAAGAAUUAGAAGUUGCAUGUGAUUUUAAUUUUUAUUGUCUCUUAGAUUUAGCCAAUACAGCGCCCAAUAAUUGCUAAUCUGGUACCGAACCGACAGAUAUCUUAUCGUUUGGUUAACAAAUUAGUACAUUUAAAAGCUGAUAAUCGAUAAGUCGAACCAUUAAGCGUAAUUAUCCAUCCGAUCCGCCCAAUAAGCAGCCCUAAGUGCAGAUGCCUGCAGGUCAUGUUCAGGUCCAAACUUCAGCUAGUCACCAAGGGGGAGGUGCUGCUAAUGGAAGGACAUAUCAGCUUGAUGCUACCUUUCCUAGAAGCACCAACAUGACUAUGAUGACCAAGUUGGAGUUCCCACGUUUCAAUGGCACCAACUUGAGGGCUUCGAUGUGUAAGGUAGAGCAUUUUUUCUCUUUUGAUGAAGUAGAAUGCACUCAGCGGGUUAAGGUAGCUUCUAUACAUUUUGAUGACAUAGCUAUAGAAUGACAUCUUGCUUAUUUAAGAAGUCGAUCACAUUUAUCUUAUCCUACCUGGAAAGAGUAUGUGUAUGCUUUGAUGGAUAGGUUUGUGUAUUGAGUAUAGAGACCCCAUGGCUGAGCUUAAGUUAUUUAAGUAGAUUGUAUUUUUAGAAGUCUACUGGAUCAUGACUAGGCUGAUUAUCCUCCUUGAGUAUACCAUUACUACUUUUAUUACUGGCUUAAACCUGAGAUCUAUUUCACUGUCAAAAAUCACAGACCAUACUUACUACCUCAAGCACCAACUAGCUAGAAACACUAAGGCUCAGGUGAAUGCACAACAGAAGUUAACCAAGGCUUCCUUGUACGGUAGUGGGUACUCUCAGUCAAGGGGUGCUUCCUCUAGUUCAAUGUCUAUAAGUGUAGGGAACAAAAAGGAAGAUGUCUAGUUAAGGGAUCAUCCAAUUGCCAAUAUAGACAGGAACACUACUAGGAGACUUAUUCCAACUAAGAUGAGUGAGAAAAGCUAGAAGAGGAUGUGCUUCUUUUGUGAUGAGAAACUUGUUCCAGGUCAAAUACAAUUCAACUAAGUAGUUGUAUCUAUUAUAAGUUCAGGAAAAUACUAAAGUUGUGGUAGAAGAAGUGCCAGAAGAUCAAGAAUGGAAGAAAUGGAUCAAGAGCAGGAGGAAGCCUGUGACAUCUCAGUUCAUGCCCUAAAUAAAAUCAAUGGGUUUCUUAUAGGGGUGACAGAUAUUGUGAAAAGAGUACCUUGAGUAUUCUCAUUAACCUUGGCAGUACUCACAAUUUGAUUAAUGAAGAGGUAACAAGAGGAAUAGGGGGUAAUAGUAUGGCAAUAACUCCUCAGAAUGUUAGUGUAGCUAAUGGUAGCAAUGCAGACUUCUGAGUUGUAUAAGGGGCUCACGUGGUUGUUACAAGGAGUGACAUUCACAUCUGACUUGUUCAAGUUACUUUUGAGGUCAGUAAAUAUGAUUUUAGGAGUAUAGUGACUAUGGCCUUUGUGGGAUCUCAAGCUUAACUUCAAGGAAUUAACCCUUGGGUUCAUUUAUCAGGGAGGAGAGGUGGUGUCGCAGGGAACCACUAACAAGACAAAGACUAUAAAUGCAAAAACGUUGGACAAGUUGGAACGAGAAAGAGCACAUUCAUGAUCAGAGUCCUACCUGGUAAGAGUGAAGAGGACCUCCAUAUAGUUGAGAUUUUCUCAAAUGUUGGCCUUAACAGAGGAGAAUAAGCAGUAAUUUGAAGAACUAAAAGGGUAACUACCCUCCGGGGGAUCCUUUGAUCACAUGAUUCCUUUGCAAGUUGGAACCAAUUCCAUUGAUGUCAGGCCCUACAGUACUCCUCUAAGCAAAAAUAUAAUAUUGAAGGCUUGGUGAAGAACAUGCUUGACCAGGGAAUAAUGUAGCCCAGUUCCAGUCCAUAUGCCUCUCUAGGUGUAUUAGUCGGAAAGAAAGAUGUGUCCUCGAGACUCUGUGUUGAUUAUAGGGCACCAACAAGACUGUCGUUAAGGACAAAUUCCUAAUUACAAUAAUUGAAGAGUUGUUUGAUAAACUAGGAGGGUCCAUGAUCUACUCCAAACUUAAUCAGGUCAUCACCAGAUAAGGAUACAUGUAGUAUAUGACCAAAAGACAACUUUCAGGACUCAUUCAAGCCAUUUUGAGUACUUAGUAAUUCCAAUUGGGCUUACUAGUGCUCCAUUAUGUUUCAAGGGACUCAUGAACCAUGUGUUCAAGGCAAUUUGGAGGAAGUGAAUCUUAGUCCUUUUUGACGAUAUUUUGGUAUUUAGUAGCAGCCUUAAAGAGUACUUGAAACACCUAAGGAUAAAAUUUGAUCUAUUGGUCAAACAUCAAUUAUUUGUACAAAAGUCAAAUGUAAAUUUAGGACCAAUAGGGUGGAGUAUGUAGGAUAUUUUAUAACUGUCGAAGGGGUUUUCACUAAUCCUAAGAAUAUAAUUGUUGUUCAAAUAUGGUAUGUGACAAGAACUAUGAAAGAAUUGAAGGAUUUUCUUUGAUCGGCUGGCAACUAGAGAAGGUUCAUAAGAAGGUACGGGAUCAUUAGUAAAUCACUCAUAGAUCUACAGAAAUAGGAAGGAUUCAAUUGGACAUGGAGUGAUACAGAGGCUUAGAGAAACUGAAUGUGGCUCUAGUGUCAGCUCCACUGUUAGCUCUCCCAAAUAGUUUAUUGCUAUUUGUAGUAGAGACUGAUGCAUGUGACACAUGACUUGGUGCAGAUGAGAAGGUCAUUCAAUAGCCUACAUAAGCAAAGGGUUAUCUGGGAAGCAUUAGAGUCUAUCUGUGUAUGACAAAGAGUUGCUUGACUUAGUCAUGGCAAUAACUAAGCAGUCUCAGUAUCUCAAGGGCAGACCUUAAUUUUAUGGUGAGAACUAAUCAAAAAGCCCUAAAAUUCCUCCUAGAUCAAAAAAUACACACCAACUCCUAGAUGAAAUUGAUAGCCAAUCUCAUGCAAUAUGACUUUGUUAUUGAUUACAAAAAAAGGAUAGAAAACUAAGCAAUUGACUCAUUAUCCAGGUUGCCAUUAGUUGAGCUAGCUGACAUGGUUAUGGCACCUCAUGAUCCUAACUUAUUUCAGAAAAUUAAGAAUAGUUGGUGUAAGGAUGUGGAAAUGGCUAAGCUUAUUACCAAAAUCAAGGAUCAACUAAAUGAUAAGAAGGGAUAGACUCUUGUCAAUCAUUAACUUAGAAGAUAUGGAAGGCUAGUGGAUGGUAAUAAUCCAGUUUUAAGGAAGGCAAUAAUACACCUAUGGCAUGAUGGCCCCAUUGGAGGCCGUUCAGUCAUGGACAAUACUCAGAGAAGAUUGGCCACUCUUUUCUGUUGGAAAGGUUUGGAGGAUGAUGUGGUGACAUGACUAAACAAUGUACAAUAUGCCAAAGGAACAAAUAUGAUAAUUCAGUAUGUUAUGGUCGGCUUCAACCCCUAGUGAUUCCUGAAUUGGCUUGGUCAAGCAUAAGCAUAGAUUUCAUUGAUGGAUUGACCACUAUCUUGGUGGUAGUUGGUAGGUUAACCAAGUAUGACCAUUUUCUUGGUUUAACUCAUCCUUUUACUGUACCAUCAGUAGCUCAGUUAUUCCUUGAUCAUAUUUUCAAACUACAUGGGAUAAUAGAAAAUAUUAUUACUGAUAGAGGUCCCAUCUUCAUCAGUAGGUUCUAGUAGGGACUCUUCUCACUACAGGGUAUAACUUUGAGUACAUUAUCAGCUUAUCAUCCUCAGUCUGAUGGUCAAAAUGAAGUGUUAGAGCAGAAUAUUGGAGACAUACUUGAGGUGUUAUUGCUUUGACAAUCAGAAGGAUUGGGUGAUACACUUGCCCUUGGAUGAAUGGUGGUACAAUAUCAUCUUUCACUCAACAAUUCACUCAACUCCUUAUGAGGCUCUAUAAAGGCAACCUCCUUACAUUCAUUAGUCCUAUUUUCCAAGUGAAUCCACAUAAGAUGAAGUUGAUCGUAGCCUUACUAACAUGGAGCUUAAGUAUGAGAAUCUUAAGUAUCAUUUUACGGAGCCAAACAUAGGAUGACAGAUUUGGCUGAUAAAUAUAGGAGUGACAGACAAUUUCAGGUUGGAGAUUGAGCCUACCUAAAAAUUCAAGCAACUCUAAUUAUCUACUCAAACCUUCUCAAAAUUGUCAGCCAAUUAUUAUGGCCCCUAUCAGAUCCUGCAGAAGUCAUCCUCCAACAACAGGGAUUUCAAGCUCAAAUUGUAUAGAGCUCGGGAGAUAUUAGGCAAACGAAUGAUUAAAAGGGGAAACAAGGUAUUACCACAGAUAUUGGUGCAAUGAAAGACUCCGCUAAAGAAUCAGGCCACUUGGGAAGACUAUGCUACAAUGAAGAUGAGGUUUCUUGAGCUCCUUCCUUAAGGUCAAGGAAGUUUUCAAGGAAAGGGUGAUGAUAUAAUUUGAUUUGAGAUCUGCUGUGAAAAAUGGUACUUCGUGCUUCUGGAGUUAUGUUUACCCUUUGGUGUUUCUUCAUUUUAGUUUAGCCCCUUUGAUUUCCUUAAAUGUUGCCAUCUAGUCCUAGUCAAAAGUUGUGAGGAGAAUGUACGUACUUUUUCCUUUUAUUUGUAUUUGUAUUUGUUCAGCUAGGGUAUAAUAAGUUGCAAGCCUUUGCAUUAACAGUUAUCAAUGAAAUCAAACCCUAGUUUUAUCUUA